RNAcentral lists this ribosomal RNA (476 nucleotides) under Treponema sp. canine oral taxon 207. RNAcentral's name for it is "bacterial SSU rRNA". It matches the Rfam family "Bacterial small subunit ribosomal RNA", at positions 9 to 472 of the family's 1533-position model. The record is from RNAcentral. Lineage: Bacteria; Pseudomonadati; Spirochaetota; Spirochaetia; Treponematales; Treponemataceae.
GAGUUUGAUUCUGGCUCAGAACGAACGCUGGCGGCGCGUCUUAAGCAUGCAAGUCGAACGGUAAGGGAGAGCUUGCUCUCCCCUAGAGUGGCGGACUGGUGAGUAACGCGUAGGUGACCUACCCUGAAGAUGGGGAUAGCUAGUAGAAAUAUUAGAUAAUACCGAAUAAGCUCAUUUGCAUAAAGGCAGAUGAGGAAAGGAGCUACGGCUCCGCUUUAGGAUGGGCCUGUGUCCCAUUAGCUAAGUUGGUGAGGUAAAGGCUUACCAAGGCAACGAUGGGUAUCCGGCCUGAGAGGGUGAACGGACACAUUGGGACUGAGAUACGGCCCAAACUCCUACGGGAGGCAGCAGCUAAGAAUCUUCCGCAAUGGACGAAAGUCUGACGGAGCGACGCCGUGUGAAUGAAGAAGGCUGAAAAGUUGUAAAAUUCUUUUGCAGAUGAAGAAUAAGGAUAGGAGGGAAUGCCUAUCUGAUGA